RNAcentral lists this transfer RNA (56 nucleotides) under Strongyloides ratti. RNAcentral describes it as "tRNA SRAE_M000000018". Lineage: Eukaryota; Metazoa; Nematoda; Chromadorea; Rhabditida; Strongyloididae. The record is from RNAcentral.
GUAGAUUUAGUAUAAAUUUAUUAUGUUGGAUUUAGGUUCCAUUGAUUUUUUCUACU